This 77-nucleotide transfer RNA is filed under the name Polaromonas sp. CF318. RNAcentral describes it as "tRNA-OTHER". It matches the Rfam family "tRNA". From Rfam's summary of the family: Transfer RNA (tRNA) molecules are approximately 80 nucleotides in length. The record is from RNAcentral. Lineage: Bacteria; Pseudomonadati; Pseudomonadota; Betaproteobacteria; Burkholderiales; Comamonadaceae.
UGGUGCGUAGCUCAAGCAGGCAGAGCAGCGGUCUCCAAAACCGAAGGUUGGAAGUUCGAUUCUUCCCGCGCCAGCCA